This 73-nucleotide transfer RNA is filed under the name Ovis aries (sheep). It matches the Rfam family "tRNA". Rfam says of the family: Transfer RNA (tRNA) molecules are approximately 80 nucleotides in length. Their secondary structure includes four short double-helical elements and three loops (D, anti-codon, and T loops). Further hydrogen bonds mediate the characteristic L-shaped molecular structure. tRNAs have two regions of fundamental functional importance: the anti-codon, which is responsible for specific mRNA codon recognition, and the 3' end, to which the tRNAs corresponding amino acid is attached (by aminoacyl-tRNA synthetases). tRNAs cope with the degeneracy of the genetic code in two manners: having more than one tRNA (with a specific anti-codon) for a particular amino acid; and 'wobble' base-pairing, i.e. permitting non-standard base-pairing at the 3rd anti-codon position. The record is from Rfam by way of RNAcentral. Lineage: Eukaryota; Metazoa; Chordata; Mammalia; Artiodactyla; Bovidae.
UCCUUGAUGGUCCAGUGGUUAAGACACCUCACUUUCAAUGACCAAGGCUCAAGUUGGAUCCCUGGUCAGGGAA